Molecule: ribosomal RNA, 497 nt
Filed under: uncultured bacterium
Lineage: Bacteria
Description: partial 16S ribosomal RNA
Rfam family: Bacterial small subunit ribosomal RNA
Source: RNAcentral
GAUGAACGCUGGCGGCGUGCCUAAUACAUGCAAGUCGAGCGAACAGAUAAGGAGCUUGCUCCUUUGACGUUAGCGGCGGACGGGUGAGUAACACGUGGGUAACCUACCUAUAAGACUGGGAUAACUUCGGGAAACCGGAGCUAAUACCGGAUAAUAUUUCGAACCGCAUGGUUCGAUAGUGAAAGAUGGUUUUGCUGUCACUUAUAGAUGGACCCGCGCCGUAUUAGCUAGUUGGUAAGGUAACGGCUUACCAAGGCGACGAUACGUAGCCGACCUGAGAGGGUGAUCGGCCACACUGGAACUGAGACACGGUCCAGACUCCUACGGGAGGCAGCAGUAGGGAAUCUUCCGCAAUGGGCGAAAGCCUGACGGAGCAACGCCGCGUGAGUGAUGAAGGUCUUCGGAUCGUAAAACUCUGUUAUUAGGGAAGAACAUAUGUGUAAGUAACUGUGCACGUCUUGACGGUACCUAAUCAGAAAGCCACGGCUAACUACGUG